Molecule: long non-coding RNA, 1023 nt
Organism: Chinchilla lanigera (long-tailed chinchilla)
Lineage: Eukaryota; Metazoa; Chordata; Mammalia; Rodentia; Chinchillidae
Exons: 3
Source: RefSeq, a predicted model, not a curated record
GGCUUUAUGUUCUAAUACUUUAAAGCAUUAAGAUAGCAACAACGAUUGUUCUCCAUAUUGUCCUCCCAGAAGGUGAGUGGAAGUGUGCCUGCUGGCUGGGACCGUACGUGUUCAUUUGAAUGGCACAUGUCCAGGACUUUGAGACCUUGGUACAAUGUCUGGCUGCUCCUGAACUUGCUUUAUUCCAGCCUGGCCAGUGGGCCCACCCGAGACUCCCCACCAUUUCCAUGGUUACUACAUGGCCAUACCAAAAGGCAAAGCAGCAGCCUUCUGGGAACUUCCUAGAGCACCAGGACCACUGAGGAGGCAGAAAUAUCAUCAAGAGUCUAUGAGGACUGGGCCCCUCCCCACUUCCAGGUUUUGCUGGAAGAUUGUGUUUAGCAACCUCCUUUACAGCUGUACUUUGGCCACAUGACUGGAUUCUGGACAAUGGAAUGUGGAUAGGAAUGAUCUAACGUUAGAUGGAUCUAAUGAUUCCUGGUCCUCAGAGUGGAAAGUCAGACCUACACAGUACAGUCUGAGCUCACCAGGAAGUUCUAGAAAUGGUUCCUCAGGAUGUACCAAGGAAGGUAGCUCUGGGGGGUGGACAGUCCAGUGGAGCAAGGUGAACGUUUCACAGAAGCCUCCUACAGGAUAAGUAAGAUCUUGUGACCAGUUGUUCUAAUGAUGGCUCCCAAGGAACCCUCCUCCUGGUAUUCGUCAUCUUCUGUGAGCUCCUUCCAUAUGGACUCUGGACUUGGUCAUGAGACAUGCUUUGGCCCAUGGGACUUUGGAAACAGGGUGCACUGAGCUUCCGUGAGUGUUUGUGCCCUGCGGCUUGCUCUCAUGGAACACAGCUUCCCAGCUGUCCCAGAACCUGUCAUGCUGCCUCAACCCAUUUUUGUUGACAUGAACUUUUUUCUCCUAACAACCCCGUCAGCCUGCACCUAUGUCUUCUGGGAGUUCCGUAUAAUUGGUCGACAGAGGAAGAGAAGACUUGGGCCUGGGGUACAGAAGACUGCACUGUACACAGGCACCCCUUGA